This 19260-nucleotide long non-coding RNA is filed under the name Podarcis lilfordi (Lilford's wall lizard). The record is from RNAcentral. Lineage: Eukaryota; Metazoa; Chordata; Lepidosauria; Squamata; Lacertidae.
CUGAGUUAUAUGUGAUAUAAAGUGCUUUCUGUGUUCAGCAGGUCCCUCAGCCGAAAUCCAAGGUGGCCAAUUACUGCUCAAGUAAGUUAUUAACUUAUAAAGACCAGGAAGGGCAGAAGGAGGUCAACAUGAAUACUCAUACUUGAAUUCAGAGUAAUGGAAAGAAGAAAUGUGUUUCCUUAGGAAUAUGUAAGCCCCAUUUUGUUUCAUGGGAGACAAAUCAUUAGUAAACGAUGCAUUAUUGGUACCGGAGGCCAGACUGAAGUCCCCAAACUCAGCGGAACCUUGACAUACUAAGUCUAGGGGCUUUGGGAGUGGAACAGGCUGUGUGUGAGAUUAUGUUUGGGGGGUUUUUUUGGGGGGGGGGGAAGCCGACAUUACCUUUUGCAACAUCCCUUCACAUUUCCACAACUUCCAAUCUUAAGCAUUGUGGGUGCAACCACCACUCGUGUUAUCGCAAUCCUUGCUGCCCUCUGGUCUUUCCUUGGCAAAUCCUGUAGAAAGGGAGGGGGGAGAGAAAAUCAUUGUCCACAGGGAAGCGGAGAGUAAAUUCAGAAUAGGAGGAAAGGGAGGCAAAGGUUCACAGACUGUAGAACAGGAGCAGGGAGUCUACCUUUUUGUUGUAAUUUAAGCAAACUAGAUCUAGGAGUAAAGACAGCAAAAACCAAUCUGUUUGAGAACUGAACCUGAUCCCCGAUAAUCUUCUUUAUUUCAGUGAAAAACUUUAGGCAAAAUGGCAGCCCCAGUGGGCACUCCAACCACAUGUGGAAAUAAGUACCCUUGUUCCCGUAUCUCCUCCAGCACAAAGCAGAGGAGCUGGAAGUGACACAGAAACCUUGAUAGGAGCACGAUACCUUGUCAAACGCAUUUUUAAAGCCAAUUCAUGUGUCUGAACAAAUACCGUCUUAAAAGGAGGCACUCUCCAUAGCCCCACUCCCAUUUUCCUUCAUCAAUAUUCUCCUUCUUCCAUGUAGAUUUCAAACUGGUCAAAUCUCCUAACUUAAUAUUGACUAAGGCUUUUUACAUAGCUGCUUUAAAUUCUUUCCUGGAGGGCCCUAUUUUAAAAAAUACAUCCUCUCCCGGAGUAAAGGUGUGCUUGGCAUGCAUAUGGACCAUAAAAUCAUAGAGAAUAUCCACAACCUGGUGAAACUGGAACCACUCAAUUGGUAUUUCUUGAGUCAACAUUUAUAGUUUGGUCUUUUUUUUGGGGGGGGGGAGAUUUGAAAUAAAAAAUCCCUCAUUGUUGGGUUGGGUUUUUUUGUGUGCAAACCAAUUAGAGGAGAAGUUUUCAACCUUUAUGGGUCCACGGCUCCCUUGACCAACUACAUUCUUUCAUGGAACCCCUGUGGGGAUCAGGAGCCCAGAUAUGUCACCCCUUACCUGCGGAGCUGGCAGCCCCAUACCCCUUUUCAAACCCUCUCUUGUGGAGUGUUCCCUCUGUCUCUUCUCCCCUCUCCUUGGGAGUGCUCUAGGCAGCUCCAGCUGCUGCCCCCAAGAGAAGGGCAUUCUCCCACUGCCCCACAGGGGCCCGGGAAGCAACCCCUGGUCAGCCCCAGAGGCACCAUUCACCUGGGGAGCUUGUAGCCAGGGCUGCUGCAACAAACAGCUGUGCAGGCCUUUGGGAGGCAGAGACACAAGAGGGCAUCAGAGGAGGGAGGGAAGGAAAAAGGGACAGAGGCCAAUGUUGCCCAAGGCACCCCUGACCAUCAUUCAAGGUGCUAUGGCACACUGAUUGAAAACCACUGAAUUACAGGGUUUAGAGUAGCAUGUGAACAUUGCAAAAGGAAAUGAAAGAAAUGAAAGGACUAGGGUGGAAACUCCUCUCUAGGAGCUGGUGUGUGUGCAUAGUCUCAGGAAGCCAAAAUCUGGUUUACCAUGAAGUGUGAAGCAGGGCUAGAUGCCACAGAAUUCCCUUGCUACUUAGAUGUACACAGCUCCAAUAUUGCAAACUUGCUGUGAGUUUGCAAAAUCCCAGUCUGCCUCUUCUUAAACAGUCUCCCAGUGCUGCUGGGUUAAAAUUUGUGAGCUUCUCUCAAAACAUUUGAAUAUACAGUCAUACCUAGGGUUACAGAUGCUUCGGGUUGCGCAAUUUCGGGUUGCACACUGCGCCGAACCUAGAAGUACCAGAAUGGGUCACUUCUGGGUUUUGGUGCUUGCGCAUGCACAGAGGCGCUAAAUCGUGCUUUGCGCAUGCGCAGAAGUGCCAAAUCACAACCCGCGCAUGCGCAGACACAACGCUACGGGUAGCGAAUGCUGCGGGUUGCGAAUGUGCUUCCAGCAUGGAUCACGUUCACAACCCGAGCGUCCACUGUAUAUACUAGACAGAACCCGAGCUGAACAGAAGUCUCCUUCUCCCUUCUUUCUCUUCAUCCCUUACCUGAAAAAGCCAGCAGCAGCACACACAGGGCAGCCCAGAACAGGUGAAGUAUCUUCAUGGCUUAGGGAGGAUGAGAGGAUGCAGAGAGGCUCAACGCAUGGCUACAAGGCAGAAUGUUGUCAGGAUUAGGAGGGAUGAACUUUCCGUAUUUGUAGCCCCUUGGGAAGCUGUUUCCUCCCACUACUCUGCAAUCUCCAGCAAGACAUCACCAUGCCCUAAAGGAACGUGGGGCUUCUAGCCAAGUCAUAAGCACAGUGUGCCCCCUAGAAUGAGAUGGAGAGAUGAUGAAGUUCAGGCCUGUGGCAAGACCUGGAGGAUGCAGAACCAGGAAAAAGCAGCCACCUGAGACAUUGAGUACCUAUUGGUAGAUUUAUGGAUGAUUUGCAAUAGUUUGAGCUGUCUCUCAAUUGUUUAACAGGGCAACAAAAAGUCUCUAUCCUCCCUGCUCUUUCCGAUCUAGAUGAUAGAUAACGAAAGCUUGGAGGGUAACCAGGAGUGAGGUUUUGUGUGGAAGGACAAUGAGCCCAUUCACAGUUCUGGCACUGAAAAGAAAUCCCUGGGCUUGGGCUACGCACACAUUAGUGGCCUGAAAUGCAGUGAGGUCAUCACUGCCCCUCCCACCUGUGUGAAGAACAUCAAAAGAGCCUGCUGGAGAUGAUGCCUUCCUGGAACAGAUGGCCAAGCAUGCAAAAGGAAGGGAGAUAGUAGUAAUGGGGGACUUCAAUUACCCGGAUAUUUGUUGGAUGUCAAACUCAGCCAAGAGCAUAAGGUCAAACAGAUUCCUCACUGGCCUUGCAGACAACUUCAUUGUCCAGAAAGUGGGAGAAGCAACAAGAGGAACAGCCAUUUUAGAUCUGGUCCUAACCAAUGUUGAUGACCUGGUUAGUGGGGUAGAAGUGGAAGGAUCAUUAGGCGCGAGUGAUCAUGCUCUUCUGAAGUUUACUAUACAGCGGAAAGGAGCAGCCAAGCAUACUAAGAUUCAAUUUCUUGACUUUAAGAAAGCCGACUUCAUAAAACUUAGGGAAGUGCUGGGUGAGAUCCCAUGGACAGUAAUACUAAAAGGAAAGGGAGUUCAUGAUGGCUGGGAGUUUGUUAAGAGGGAGAUAGUAAAAGCACAACGUCAGGCAAUACCAAUGAGACGGAAACAUGGAAGGUGCCUAAAGAAGCCAGGGUGGCUAUCUAAAGAACUUUUAACUGAGUUAAGAUUAAAAAAGAAUGUGUACAAAAAAUGGAAAAGGGGGGAAACCACCAAAGAGGAAUUCAAACAAAUAGCCAGCACGUGUAGACACAAAGUCAGAAAAGCUAAAGCACAGAAUGAACUCAGGCUUGCUAGGCUUGCAUACUUUUAUGGGUAUGUUCGUAGCAAAAGGAAGAACAAAGAAACAGUGGGGUCACUCAGAGGAGAAGAUGGUGAAAUGCAAACAGGGGACACAGAAAGGGCUGAACUCCUCAAUGCCUUCUUUGCCUCAGUCUUCUCCGAUAAAGAAAACAAUGCCCGACCUGAAGAAUUUGGAGCAAAUGAUUCAGCAAAGGAAACACAGCCCAGAAUAACUAAGGAGAUAGUACAAGAAUACUUGGCUAGUUUAGAUGUAUUCAAGUCUCCAGGGCCAGAUGAACUGCAUCCAAGAGUAUUAAAAGAACUGGCAGAACCACUGGCAGUCAUCUUUGAGAAUUCCUGGAGAACAGGCGAAGUCCCGGCAGACUGGAGGAGGGCAAAUGUUGUCCCUAUUUUCAAAAAGGGGAAAAGAGAGGACCCAAAUAAUUACCGCCCAGUCAGUCUGACAUCAAUACCAGGGAAGAUUCUGGAGCAGAUCAUUAAGCAAACAGUCUGUGAGCACCUAGAAAGGAAUGCUGUGAUCACCAAUAGUCAGCAUGGAUUUCUGAAAAAUAAGUCAUGUCAGACUAACCUGAUCUUGUUUUUUGACAGAAUUACAAGCCUGGUAGAUGAAGGGAACACAGUGAAUGUAGCCUACCUUGAUUUCAGCAAGGCAUUUGACAAGGUGCCCUAUGAUAUUCUUGUAAAGAAGCUGGUAAAAUGCGGUCUUGACUAUGCUACCACUCAGUGGAUUUGUAACUGGCUGACUGACCGAACCCAAAGGGUGCUCAUCAAUGGUUCCUCUUCAUCCUGGAGAAGAGUGACUAGUGGGGUGCCACAGGGUUCUGUCUUGGGCCCGGUCUUAUUCAACAUCUUUAUCAACGACUUGGAUGAUGGACUCAAGGGCAUCCUGAUCAAAUUUGCAGAUGACACCAAACUGGGGGGGUGGGGUGGCUAACACCCCAGAGGACAGGAUCACACUUCAAAACGACCUUGACAGAUUAGAGAACUGGGCCAAAACAAACAAGAUGAACUUUAAGAGGAAGAAAUGUAAACUAUUGCACUUGGGCAAAAAAAGAGUGAGGCACAAAUACAAGAUGGGGGACACCUGGCUUGAGAGCAGUACAUGUGAAAAGGAUCUAGGAGUCUUGGUUGACCACAAACUUGACAUGAGCCAACAGUGUGACGCGGCAGCUAAAAAAGCCAAUGCAAUUCUGGGCUGCAUCAAUAGGAGUAUAGCAUCUAGAUCAAGGGAAGUAAUAGUGCCACUGUAUUCUGCUCUGGUCAGACCUCACCUGAAGUACUGUGUCCAGUUCUGGGCACCACAGUUCAAGAAGGACACUGACAAACUGGAACGUGUCCAGAGGAGGGCAACCAAAAUGGUCAAAGGCCUGGAAACGAUGCCUUAUGAGGAACGGCUAAGGGAGCUGGGCAUGUUUAGCCUGGAGAAGAGGAGGUUAAGGGGUGAUAUGAUAGCCAUGUUCAAAUAUAGAAAAGGAUGUCACAUAGAGGAGGGAGAAAGGUUGUUUUCUGCUGCUCCAGAGAAGCGGACACGGAGCAAUGGAUCCAAACUACAAGAAAGAAGAUUCCACCUAAACAUUAGGAAGAACUUCCUGACAGUAAGAGCUGUUCGACAGUGGAAUUUGCUGCCAAGGAGUGUGGUGGAGUCUCCUUCUUUGGAGGUCUUUAAGCAGAGGCUUGACAACCAUAUGUCAGGAGUGCUCUGAUGGUGUUUCCUGCUUGGCAGGGGGUUGGACUCGAUGGCCCUUGUGGUCUCUUCCAACUCUAUGAUUCUAUGAAUAAAAGCAAAUUAAAAAACCCCGUUCCCUCUCUUUCCAGUUUUCAGGUAUGAGUCCUUGCUUAUGCAGCAAAAAUAGCACCUUGCACUCAUGAGCCGUGGGUGGCACUGUGGGUUAAACCACAGAGCCUAGGACUUGCCGAUCAGAAGGUCGGCGGUUCGAAUCCCCGCGACGGGGUGAGCUCCCGUUGCUUGGUCCCUCAUCCUGCCAACCUAACAGUUCGAAAGCAGGUCAAACUGCAAGUAGAUAAAUAGGUACCGCUCUGGCAGGAAGGUAAAUGGUGUUUCCGUGCACUGCUCUGGUUCACCAGAAGAGGUUUAGUCAUGGUGGCCACAUGACCUGGAAGCUGUACUCCGGCUCCCUCGGCCAAUAAAGCGAGAUGAGCGCCGCAACCCCAGAGAUGGCCACGACUGGACCUAAUGGUCAGUGGUCCCUUUACCUUUACCUUUACUCAUGAGACCAGCAUGGUUGUGCAGAAGCAAAGCAGAUCUUAAGAAAGAAUGCUAGAAGGCGAAAGGGUCCCCCCAAAACAUUCCGUUGAGCCACAAUGAGGAUAAUGAACUAGAAUGUCCCCAGAAUUGCAAAUCUGUCCCCGGGAAAUGUGGCAGCAGCAGCCUCAGCAGCCCGGAGCCAGCCUGGUAGCGCAGUUGGCUCUGGGUGGCUUCAGGAGCUGCUUGCUGCCACCACCACUGCCACUGACAAGGGGACACCAGGGACAUCUGGUGGUACAGAUCUCCUGCGCCCUUCCCCCUUUGUUUUGACAGAUCGGGGGAGGCUCAGGAGUUGCGGGCAGGUGGCCGUUACCCAGGAGGGGUGCAAGGCGCACGGUUUCCCUGCCAGGCAAGGAGCAAAGCCAUUCUUUCGCACCCUGUGAAACAUAAAUGCUCCAAGUUUUUAAAAAACUGGGCAAUGGCUGCUCUCCUGCGAAUCCCAAGCCUCCCCUGAUCAGUCAAAACAAAGGCGAAAGGGGGCAGGAGAUCGAGGGAGUCUCAGGAGCCGCGGGCGGGCAGCCAUUGCCCAGCUUUUUAAAAACUCAGAGCGUUUAUGUUUCACAGGGUGCGAAAGAAGGGCUUUGCACUUUUAUAAAAUAUGCAUGUGUGCUUUGGCCCAGGGUCUUUUGCCUCACCAUCACCACUACUGACUCCCUGUUGCUACUCGGCUUCAAAAGAAAAAAGAAAAAGAAAGAAAGUGUCCCCGGAUUCAUUGAAAAAAAUCUGCUAACUAUACUAUAACCACCACGGGUUAUCUUUUGGUUUUUGCAUGAGGCUAAACUUAGAAACCUGGAGACUCAGGCAGAGUUGAUAAAACUGGUAUUUGAUACUAGUGCAGAAAGCAGGAGUCAGACUGCAAACAGGAUCAGCUACUAGGGACAACAUGUUACACUGUUCAGAGAUGCACUGGUUGCCAAUUUUCCAUUAUCGGGGUUCGAAGUUCUAAAUAAUGCCAAUAGUUCAGCUGGUUACACUGUGGUUAGAGCUGGGAUUAUGGUUUAAGAAAUCUAAGGCGUCUUAAAUGCAUGCACUUCCAUAAGUGCACAAGGGAAAUGCCCAUGUCUGAAACCACAUGUCUGAAAUAGUAUGGCCAGCAAGAUCAAAGCCAUGUUUAGCUGUUAAUGGAGCCCAGAAGCCCCUCCAUUCACACAGCAGGAAAUUCUUCCUGGCCUCCUUUCUAUGAAACUGGUUUAGCAAGUAUGGAUGAACUAUCUGAGCAGACUUGUUAAAAGAGCAGAUAUCUAUGUAUGAAUGAAACAUGCCCUUGAUAAUGCAUCCUGGAGUCAAGGUAUUCACCAUUUCAAAGAAUGUCCCAGGGUGGGCAUUUAUCAGGUGUUGUCAGGCAUCUUGAUUGACAGACUUGUAAAUACAUUGGAUGGAUGGGGUGUUAGGGGAGAGGUGGUACCUCUGGUAGGCGACAGGCAUGUUGUGCUCUUUCUGGGGUUGUGUGUCCACCUUUGGUCCCUUCAAACAGAAUGGAAAUAGACUGCUGGUGCUUAUAACAAAAAAGCUUUAAAACUGAUUGAAGGUGGGAGCUGGGGAGGCUCUGCUUUGGAACCUGGCAUGUAGAUCACAAAACCUAUAAAAAUCAAUAUGGAGGUGCCACAGAACUAUGCAUUGUGAGUGCAGGGGCACAGGUGUAGCAGGCCAAUGUACAACAAGUCAAAACAUGAGUGCCCAACUGAAGACUGAAGACAUGAGUGCCCAACUGAAGACAAUAAUAAUACAGUGGUACUUCUGGUUGCGAAUGGGAUCCAUUCCGGAGGGUCGCGGGUCGUGAUUCGCAGCUUCUGUGCAUGCCUGCGACGUCAUUUUUCAUGUCUGCGCAUGUGCGAGCAGCCAAACCAAGAAGUAACCCUUUCCUGUACUUCCAGGUCGCCAGGGGACGCAACCUGAAAAUGCGCAACCUGAAGCAAACGUAACAUGAGGUAUGACUGUAAUAAUAAUAUAUUAUUACGGUCAAAGACCAGUUCAGAAGCACAACUGAGACUGCUUUCACAAGAGUGAAAUAGACAUUUAAAACAAUAUACAAUAACAGCUCAUAGAUUAAAAUUAAAAUAGUUGCAUGAACACAAAAAGACCUAAGGUUAAACUAACAUGCAGAUUGCCCCUGGGACACCCAGGAGGCCGACUACGGCAGUUUUCCUAGAGAUCGAUUUGCUCCUGGGGGGGGGGGGUGUUCUACGCCUACAAAUCUGUGUACUGAAUCUGGCGACCAUCCGAGUCAUCUUGUAAUUUUUGCCUAAGAGAAGAAAAAUGAGUUUAGGCUUGUCCGGAAGGUCAGCAAGCCUCACCAGAUGGGGGUCGAUGGUAUCUCUACGUGCCUCAUUGUAAAAGGGACAUCUAAAAAAUAAGUGUUCAGGGCUUCCUAUUUCCCCUAACGGGCAGGCGCAAAGUCUCUGAGAGUUCUGGAAUUUUCCAAAAGAUCCUUCCAGAACCGGCGAGGGCAGAGCCGAACUUCUGGCAAGAGUUAAAGGCCCUUCUUACAUUUUUGGAUACGAGGAAAUGGAGGUAUGCUGCUGGGACAGCAACAUCUCUCUUGUGUUCUUCAAUUAUGUAAUCAGGGGACCUCAAGCAGUCCUGUUGCCUCUCUGUGUCCAUAAUUCUAUGAAUAAUGGCAAGUUGUGGUUCUGCAGAGAGAAUGGGCACUCUCUCCCCACCUACCUUUAAGUCAUGUGUAGAACGUAGCCCAAGGAAGGACACCUAUUUUCCCUCCUCCCCUGCAAAACAUCCUCUAUUUUUGUUGUUGUUCAGUCAUGUCCGACUCUUCAUGACCCCCUGGACCAGAGCACGCCAGGCACUCCUGUCUUCCACUGCCUCCCACAGCUUGGUCAAACUCAUGCUGGUAGCUUCGAGAACACUGUCCAACCAUCUCAUCCUCUGUCCUCCCCUUCUCCUUGUGCCCUCCAUCUUUCCCAGCAUCAGGGUCUUUUCCAGGGAUUCUUCUCUUCUCAUGAGGUGGCCAAAGUAUUGGAGCCUCAGCUUCAGGAUCUGUCCUUUCAGUGAGCACCCAGGGCUGAUUUCCUUCAGAAUGGAGAGGUUUGAUCUUCUUGCAGUCCAUGGGGCCUCCAUUUUUAACUCUCCCAAAUAGCCUAAUGCAUUAUUCUGAGCCUUUGCUUUCCCAGUGGCCUUCUAUGUCUUCACUCCAGGGACCCCCUUUUAAUAAUCCCAACCUACACUUGAAGACAAUUGGUAGAGCAUGAGGCUCUUAAUCUCAGGGUCUUGGGUUUGAGCCCCCAUUGGAUGGUGUUGGACUCGAUGCUCCUCCUGGUCCCUUCCAAAUCUACAAUUCUAUGACAGUAUUCAAGUGUUUGCAUGCCAGUGCCAGACACCUCCCAGCCAUGGACGGGUGAACUGGAGAGCUUGGUCUUGGAGGACAGCAUGGAUAAAGUGAGCAGGUUCAAUCCCUGUAUGCAUAUUCCUGCAUUGCGGGGGGUUGGACUAGAUGAUCCUCAUCAUCCCUUCCAACUCUUCGAUUCUUUGAUGCAGGGCUGUUCACAAUGUAAAAUUACAAUAUAAAAACCACAAAGACAUACAGUCAUACCUCCGGUUGCGAACGUGAUCUGUGCGGGAGGCAUGUUUGCAACCCACAACGUUCGUAGCCUGAAGUGCUGCAUCUGCGCAUGCGCAUGACACGAUCCGGCUCUUCUGCGCAUGUGCAUGACAUCAUUUUGCGCUUCUGCACAUGCAUAAGUGCAGAAACCCAGAGGUAACCCAUUCCGGUACUUCUGGGUUCGGUGCGAUCCACAACCCGAAAACACGCAACCCACAGCGUUCGUAACCCGAGGUAUGACUGUAGAUCAUUGGCCUGAGUGGCAGGUUUUCUUAUGGUCUUAAAGCACACGGGAAGGGAAUUUUGCUGCAUUUCAGGCCACCUGUGUGGACAUAGCCCAAGCCCAAGAAUUUGUUUUCAGUGCCAAGCUGAAUGGGGCUCAUGGUCCUUCCAUCCCUGAUGACCCAACAAGCCUUCCUUUGUUUUAGGCAUAUAAUAUAGAAUGGAAGGAGCGGCAGGGCGGACAGAGACUUUCUGCUGCCUUGUUAAACAAUUGGGAGUCAAUAAAUCAGCCAUGGAUCUACCAGGAUGUACUCAGUGACUUGGCUGGGUGCUUUUUCCUGGUUUUGCACCCUCUAGGUCUUACCACAGGCCAAAACAUCUAAUCUCUGCAUCUCUCCAUAUCAUUUCAAGAAAGACACUGUGCUUAGGGUUGGGUUUGCAGCCCCAUCUUCCUGUUGGUUUCUAUUUCCCUCACUGAGCAGCAACUGCAGUCACAAGACAUUGUUUUACAUUCCACAGUCUGUACUGUUGGAGUUUCUCACGGGAAAGGGAGACUGGAUGUGACGUACACUGGUUUCCUGUUUUUUCACUGUGUGAUUCUCUCCGAGCUGUGGAGGAGAGAGGAUGCAUUUUUCUGCUCCGGCAGAGACAAGAUGUCUUUCUGUAAUAUACCAGCUUUGAACUGUAAAUAAAGCAAUAUAGAGUAUGUAGCACGUAUUCUUCAUCCUUCCGCUGGGCACGACAGACUCUGCUUUAAAUCAACACGUGGUUAUGGACUCCAGAGGUCGAAUCGGAGUGCCGGCAAAGGAUCGGAAUGCAGAGGGACGGAUCGGAAAGGAAUCUGCUCUGCGCGUAGAAGUGAUUGAUGAGGUAUGUGCUACUGCUCCGGGCAGCCUGCCAGCUUCAAGAUAAUGGCUUUAUGGCUGGACUUUGAACUUUUAAAGCCGGUUUUGCCGGGAAUAGGCAAAAGGCUCCCAGGCACAAGUCACUAUGCUGGGAAAUCGAAAGUAACUUUUAAGUGUGCCUUUGUAAUGAGGCAGCUGCAGCAGUGACGCAGCAAGAUUUAAAGCAGCAUAUGACGCUGAAGGCUAAUGCCAGAGUCAUGAUGGCCCUUCAGGAUGCUUGUGGGAUUCCUAAGCUCAACAAGACAAAUUACAGCGACUGGGUUCAGUAUGCAGAGGCAAUUCUGCGGAAGAGGGUUUGUUUGAGGUGAUUACAGGCACCCCCCCAGUUCCAGUUACAGAUGCAUGGGAAGCUAAGGAUUCCAAAGCAAGGGAACUCUUACAUUGAUAGUAUCCCCAGAAGAGCUCUGUCUAUUGCGUGAUAAGACCUCAGCCAGAGAAGUUUGGGACGCUCUGAGAGAGGCUCACUUAAGGACAGAAGCUGGAUCCACUAUGUUUUAUUUUAACAAGCUGCAUAAUAUGGCUCUUGCUGAAGGUGGAGAUGUGCGUUUACAUCUGAUGCAGAUGCAAAAUCUGAGACAUGAGCUGCAACAGAGAGGACUCAACUUUCCAGAGGCUGUGUAUUCUUUCAUGAUACUACAAUCUUUGGGUUCAGGUUGGGAGUCUGUUGCAACCCAGAUUGCUGUGCAACCAACUGCUCAGCUGACAGUGGACUUUGUUACUGCCGUGAUUUUAAAUGAAGCAGAUCGCCGGGGUGCUAGCUGCAUGGGCAAGGAGAGUCUUCACAGACGUCAUCCCAUUGUUCAGUGGAACCACCAGAUGGCGCCAAAGCUUUGUAGGCAGUGAAAUGCUACUCAUGUGGACGUUUAGGCCAUAUGAUGUGGGAAUGCAGACUUCCCUGGGCAAAGACAGAGCAGCGAUGCGAUAGGUCAUCGCGCGGAAAAGGCCGAGGCAAAGGCAAAGGUCCGGUGUCUAGGACAACGCAGCACAAGGCUAUGGUUUCACGCUUCACUCCAAAGGUUGCAGAGGUCCAGAAGACGUCUAGAUCUUUCUUCGUUGUUGAUUCAGCGGCCACCCACCACAUGUGCAACGAUAAGAAACUGUUUGUGUCUUUUACACCGCAGGAAGGUGCGAUUCACCAGGCGGAUGACCACACUAUUCCCAGUAAAGGCUACGGAACUGUUGUUCUUCACAGUUUGGACUUAUCGAUACAGAAUGUGCUUUACGUGCCAGACGCCAAACAUAAUCUGCUCAGCGUUGGACAGCUGAAUGAGCGGAACAUUGACGUUUCCUUCAAGAACAAGAAGUGCAUCAUCACAAAGAAAAAUGAUUAUGUAUUGCAUGCAGAAUAUGUUGAUCGUUUGUUUGUUUUGUAUUAUGAUGAUGUGGUGCAGGAUGACACUUGUUGCAUUGCAGGUUCUAACAAAAGUUUGCAUGCAGAAUGUAUUCACGAUUUUCAUCGCAAAUUUGGUCAUUUGCAUUUUGAGGCAGUAUCUAAAAUGCCUGCCUUGGUUGAAGGUAUGACUAUUAAACCCUGCAGGUACCACAUGAAGUGCAAAGCAUGCGCAGCAAACAAGGUGAAAAUGGCUGCGAAAGGUAAGGUGUCUAGUAGGAAAGCUACAGAACCAUACCAGGUUGUUCAUGCUGAUUUGGUUGGUCCACUUGCGCCCUCUUUGGGUGGAAAUAGAUACUUCAUGGUUCUCAUUGAUGCAUUUUCUAGAUAUAUUUUUGUGUACAAUCUCAAGCAGAAAUCGGAGGCUUUUCCUAGGUUCAAGGAAUUCUGUGCUUGGUUGGAAAAUGUGCAUGGUAAGAAGAUAAAGACUCUUUUCAGUGAUCGCGGGGGAAUUCACUUCUCAGCAGUUUGAAGCUUUUCUGACUGAGAAAGGAAUUCAACACGAUUUGUCUAGUCCUCGCUCGCCAUGGCAGAAUGGACUUGCGGAGCAGGCAAAUCAGACAUUGCUUCAAGGAUUAAAAACCUUGCUGCAUGAUGCCAAUCUUCCAGAGAGUUAUUGGGCCGAAUCUCUCUCGUGUUUUGUUUACAGUUACAAUCGCAGGUUAUCUUCAGCGAUUGGAUGUACCCCCUAUGAGAAGAUGUUUGGCAGAAGCCAUACAUCAAACACAUGAAGAUUUUGGUUCUGACAUGUGGGUUCGCUCACCACAAAACUCCAAGUUAGACAAGCGUGGAUUGCAUGGUAUCUUUCUAGGUUAUCAGAAAGGGUCUUACAGAAUAAUGAUGACUGACUCUAAGACAAUUAAGCUCACGAGAAGUGUCGAGUACAAUGCAAAGUGGGGGAGAAUGUGGGAAUUUUCCAAUGUUAUCCUGAUGACGGUGAUGAGACUGAGGAUAGUCAAAAGCAACCACAACAGCCCACACCCACUGAUGAAGGUUCUGAGUCUGAAUCUGAAACUGAAUCGGGUGAUUCAGAGGAUUUCAAGAGUGCGAAAGCCUCUAUGCGACCCUCUGAAAGCUCUGAUCAAGAAUUGGAGGAACCAUUGUUCACAAUAGGUCGUUUUUCUCCUAAGAAGGAAGAGGAGAGUGUUGAAGACUUAAGGCUAAUUCGUAGGUCACAGAGAGCCACAAAGGCAAACCUCCAAAGAGAUUUGCUGAUGAGUUUGCUAAGAUAGCAGUAACAGCUGUUAAAAGCUCCAAGAAGGUAUUUGAACCUUCAAGUUUCCAAGAAAUCCAGGGUUUGGAUUCGAAGGAAGCUGAGCCAUGGUUAAAUGCCAUGAAGGCUGAGCUUGAUUCCUUAGAAAGGAACAAAACAUGGGAGCUAGUUCCAGUAGUUCCAGGAAUGAAACUGCUUGGAAGCAAAUGGGUCUUCAAAGCGAAGACAGAUCAAAAUGGCAAGAUAGUCAGACACAAAGCCAGAUUGGUAGCCAGAGGUUUUGCACAGGUACCAGGUGAAGACUAUCACGAGACCUAUUCACCCACAGUGAGAUAUGAAAGCAUUAGGCUUAUGCUCAAGCUAGCUGCAGAGGAAAAUCUACACAUUAGUCACCAUGAUAUUAAUACAGCUUUUCUGUACGGAUCUCUAGAUGAAUCACUUUAUAUGCUUCCACCUGAUGGCGUACAGGUAAAACAGGGAUUUGUUUGUGCUCUGAAGAAAUCCCUUUAUGGUCUCAAACAAAGUGCACGGUGUUGGCACACAAAACUCACUGAAGUAUUGUUUUCUCUAGGUUUUCAGCAAGGAAAGCUGAUCCAUGUGUAUUUGUCAAGAGGAGGGGCAAAAGAAACUGUACUGUUUGUUUUAUGUUGAUGAUUUAUUAUUCUUUUGGAAAGAUGUUGCAAUGUACAAUAGCGCCCUAGCUCAACUGAAAGAGCACUUUGACAUGAAAGAUCUUGGUGAGGUAAACAACUACCUAUCUCUGGAAAUGAGAGAGAUCAAGAUGGUAACAUUCUAGUACACCAGUCACGGAAAAUUGCUGAUGUGUUAAGCAAACUAAAUCUGAUGGAUGCUAACCCUGUAGACACACCGAUGACAACAGGUUAUCAGGUAGAUGACACUGAAGAAGCAUUUUCUGACACUACACUGUACAGGAGUGUGCUAGGCAAGCUAAACUUCAUUGCCAGAUGUUCAAGACCAGACAUUGCUGUUAGCUGUAAUUUGCUAAGCAGACAAGUCAACAAUCCUAGUGUCAAGGAUUGGAAAGCUCUGAAACGCAUAGCGCGGUAUUUGAAAGGCACUAUGCAUUACAGACUGAGAUUUAACAAUCAGAAGUCUGGUGGUCUUGAGAUAUUUGCAGAUGCAAGUUUUGGAAGUGACGCUACAGACAGGAAAAGUACGUCUGGAGUUUGCUACAUGUACAAUCAGAGUCUGUUUGAUUGGUCAUGCAAGAAGCAAACAACAGUUAGCUUAAGUACUUGUGAAGCCGAACUGAAUGCACUGUCUUAUUCACUUAAGGAUUGUGAAUGGUUAGUACAAUUGUGCAAAGAUAUGAAAAUUCCUGUCAAAUGUCCAAUCCAGGUUUACCAGGACAACAAAGCAUGUUUGGCUUUGCUGAAGUCUGAAGGUUGUAAGCAAAGCACAAAGCACUUGCAAUUAAAGUUGCAGCAUGCUAGGGAAUGUAUUCAGAAGGGACUCGUAACGGUGUCCUAUAUGCCAGGUAAUGAAAUUCCUGCUGAUGUAUUGUCCAAGAUUGUAUCAAGGGAUCAACACUGUACCUAUGUGCAGAAGUUGGGUUUGUACUGAUACUGUACGAACACGCUGCCCAGUGAUGUUCACAGAAAGGGGAGGAUGUUGGUUUCUAUUUCCCUCACUGAGCAGCAACUGCAGUCACAAGACAUUGUUUUACAUUCCACAGUCUGUACUGUUGGAGUUUCUCACGGGAAAGGGAGACUGGAUGUGACGUACACUGGUUUCCUGUUUUUUUCACUGUGUGAUUCUCUCCGAGCUGUGGAGGAGAGAGGAUGCAUUUUUCUGCUCCGGCAGAGACAAGAUGUCUUUCUGUAAUAUACCAGCUUUGAACUGUAAAUAAAGCAAUAUAGAGUAUGUAGCACGUAUUCUUCAUCCUUCCGCUGGGCACGACAGACUCUGCUUUAAAUCAACACUUCCUUCAGGGCAUGGUGACAACUUGCUAGACUUCUCAAGGAAGUGGGAGGAAACAGCUUCCCAAGGAUCCUACAAAUAUGGGAAGCUCAGCCCUUCCAACCCUGACAACCUUCACCCUUGUAGCCCUGCAUUGAGCCUUUCUGCAUCCAUCCAUCCUCACUGAGCCAUGAAGAUCCUUCACCUGUUCUGGGCUGUCCUGUCUUUGCUGCUGCUGACUGCUUCAGGUAAGGGAUGGAGAGGAAGGAGGGCGAAUGCUGUUCCGCUUAUGUUCUGCGUAGGAAAAGCUAACAUAACAAUGAAGCCUGACCAGGAAAAAGGGCAAAAGAGGACAUAGGUUUGCAGGAAAUGUGCAUGUGCUGAUUUAUGCGUAAAGAUACACAUUUAGUCAUGAUUGACAGGUCACAGAUUUUGGAUUUCUGGGACCAUACAUACACACCAGCUCCCAGAGAGGAGCUUGCAGACAUUUUGCUCUUUCCUAGUUCUUUCUAGUAAAGGUAAAGGUACCCCUGCCCAUCAGGGCCAGUCGUGACCGACUCUAGGGUUGCGCGCUCAUCUCGCUCAAGAGGCUGGGAGUCGGCGCUGUCCAAAGACACUUCCGGGUCACGUGGCCAGCGUGACGAAGCUGCAUCUGGCGAGCCAGCACCAGCGCCACACACGGAAACACUGUUUACCUUCCCACUAGAAAGAGGUCCCUAUUUAUCCACUUGCACUUAGGGGUGCUUUCGAACUGCUAGGUUGGCAGGAGCUGGGACCGAACGACGGGAGCUCACCCCACCGCUGGGAUUCGAACCGCCGACCUUUAGAUCAGCAAGUCCUAGGCUCUGUGGUUUAACCCACAGCGCCACCCAGCGUCCCCAUAGGUCUUUCUAAAUUUAAUUUAAUUGUGCAAAGUCUCUGAUUCGUUUCCAAAAAAAGUUAAAACAUUAACAUUGGGAACAAAGAAACAAAUAAAAACAGGUGGUAAACGCCAUCCACUUCAGAUGGCAAGGAUAGCUCUGAAUGGCUUGAGCUACAGGAGUGUAGAUUUCAGUUGAAUGGAGGUGGGCUCCAUUCUCCAUUGGGGAUGAGCAUCUGUUGGGGAUGCUCAAAUGCUAGAUUAUGUGUUGCUCACAGGGUGGAUGAGAUAACUUGCACGACAUAAUAAUAAUAAUAAUAAUAAUAAUAAUAAUAAUAAUUUAUUUAUUUAUACCCUGCCCAUUUGGCUGGGUUUCCCCAGCCACUCUGGGCAGCUGCCAACAGAACACUAAAAUACAAUAAUCUAUUAAACAUUAAAAGCUUCCCUAAACAGGGCUGCCUUCAAAGGACCCCUGGACAGUUAAGUCCAGUCAAAGGCGACUAUGGGGUUGUGGUGCUUAUCUCGCUUUCAGGCCGAGGGAGCCGGUGUUUGUCCACAGACAGCUUUCCGGGUCAUGUGGCCAGCAUAACUAAACCGCUUCUGGCACAACGCAACACCGUGACAAGUGCCAGAGUGCACGGAAAUGCCCACAAAUUAAAAGAUUAAAACUUCCAAUAAUUCUCAUUAUACUACUUAUGUAGGGACGCUGGUGGCACUGUGGGUUAAACCACAGAGCCUAGGACUUGCCGGUUUGAAUCCCCACAACGGGGUGAGCUCCCGUUGCUCGGUCCCAGCUCCUGCCCACCUAGCAGUUCGAAAGCAUGUCAAAGUGCAAGUAGAUAAAUAGGUACAGCUCCGGCAGGAAGGUAAACAGCAUUUCUGUGCACUUCUCUGGUUCACCAGAAGCAGCUUAGUCAUGCUGGCCACAUGACCCGGAAGCUGUAUGCCGGCCAAUAAAGAAAGAUGACUGCCGCAACCCCAGAGUCGGUCACGACUGGACCUAAUGGUCAGGGGUCCCUUUACCCUUCACCUUUACUACUUAUGUUAUCUGUAUCCCUUGUACAGAUUUAUAUUAUUUUAUUUUGUAUAUAGACAUAUAAUCCACUAUUACAUUUUGAAUAAUUCUUGGUUGUCAGUAUCACUCUAUUUCUGCAAGUAUCUUAUUGUUCGUGCAGUAAGUUUUCAAGUAUUCUUUAUAUAUUUCCCAUUCCCUAAAUACCUUUUGGUUUGACAUUCCUCUAAGUUUUCCAGUCAAUUUUUCUAGUUGCAGGUAUUCUAUCUUAAGAAUUUGGCACUCUGUGAUCGUUGGUAAGGUUUCAUUUUUCCAAUUUCUUGCCACUGUUAUUCUGGCUGCCGUAACUGCGUACAUAAACAAUGGUCUUUAUUAUUACUAUUACUAUUAUUAUUAUUAUUAUUAUUAUUAUUAUUAUUAUUAUUUCAAUUGGUAGUAUUCAUAAUAGAAAAAUUUCUGGGUUUUUUUUAGAAAUGUAAAUUUGAAUAGUUUUUUUUAAUUCACUGUAAAUGUUGUUCCAAAAUUCACAGAUCACCUCGCAAUUCCACCACAUACAGAAAUAUGAUCCUGUAUCUUUUUGCAUAUCCAACAUAAUGUUUCCCAUUCUAAAGUUUCCCUUCCCUUACCUCCACUUCUGAAUUUGCAAUGGACAGGGAUCUCUUUUGUUUCUCCUUUUGCAAAGGAUUUGCCAAGGAAGACCCAAAUCUUGGACCAGAUUGCUAUAAGAGAGGCAGCACUUGCCAAUCUAACAAGUGUCCCAAAGGAAUGAUUCAAGAUGGAAUGUGCAACAUGAAAAGAUAUGUUGCAAGAGGUAAAAGAGCUCAAACAAGGUGCCGGAGAUGAACUUAAAUAUUAUUAUAUUCUUAACAUUUUCAUACCAUACUUAUUUUCAUAUUUCCACUUACACUUUAUUAUUUUCCAAUUUGUACAUCUUAAUUUCUAUGUUAUUAAUUGUAAGUGUUAAAUCAAACCCUGCUAGCGAGUCCACUUCUUUGCAGUUUUUCUGUAGGCAGAGCAUAAAUGAUUCCCAGUCUGUAUUGCCUUUAUCUCUAAGUUUCCCAGUCAACUUCGCCAGCAUAUUCCAUCAGUUUUUCUUGCCACUCUUCUUUAGUUGGUAUCUUCUCAUCUUUCCAUUUCUGGGCUGGUAAAAUCCUAGCCAUUGUUGUAACGUACACGAAUCGCAUCUUCCACUCUUUUGGCAAGUCUUGACCUGUAAUGCCUAGCAAGAAAGCUUCUGGUUUUUUAACAGAUGUUAUCUUAAACAUUUUUUUCAUUUGGUUAUAAAUCAUUUCCCCAAAGUUUUUGGUUAUUUUACAGUUCCACCACAUAUGAAUAAAUGUGCCUUCCUUUUAUUACACUUCUGAAACUUAUUGGAGCCUGUUCUAUACAUUUUAGCCAUUUUUACAGCAGUGAUAUACCAUCUGUACAUCAUUUUCAUAUACAGUGGUACCUCGGGUUAAGUACUUAAUUCGUUCUGGAGGUCUGUUCUUAACCCGAAACUGUUCUUAACCUGAAGCACCACUUUAGCUAAUGGGGCCUCUUGCUGCUGCUGUGCCGCUAGAGCACAAUUUCUGUUCUCAUUCUGAAGCAAAGUUCUUAACCUGAAGCACUAUUUCUGGGUUAGUGGAGUCUGUAACCUGAAGCGUAUGUAACCCGAGGUACCACUGUAAUUCUCUUUCAACAAUAUACAAUCAGCAAAUGUUAAGUUCGCUUUCCAUAAUUUUCCCCAGUCUUCCAUUUGUAUAUUAUGUCCUAAAUCUUGUUUCUACAUCAUCCUUUAGACCUAUGAUGCAUAUUUUAUUUUACCUACUUACGUUGUCCACAUCCUUCAGUUUCUUCUUUCAGUUCAGCUCACUUUUGUAAUGCUAUUGUUCAGCAUCAAAAUGAUCUGGGACCUAUGCUGUUGCAUUCUUAGUCUAACUUGUUUUGGCUCAUCAAUUCCCUCUUCUAUCGUUUAACAUUCUUCCGAGUUCCUCAGCCUUCCUUUCUAUGAUUGUAAUUUUGACAUCAGAUUCCAGGUGAUAUGGAAGUAACUGGGGUUUUUUUGCUCUUGUUAUUGUUUGUUUGUUUUUAAGUCCCUGAAGAUUGAUGCCAGCUUACACAGGAGCCUUUGAAAAUUGGGAGAUGCUCCCUUACUUUGAGAGCAACUGGAUCCUGCUACAUCCCCAGCUGGAGUCUCCUCCUUCUCCAGCAAAGCUUCCAGA